GCAGUUAUCUCAGUUAGUUAGAGCGUGGUGCUGAUAAUGCCAAGGCUGUAGGUUCGAUCCCCGUAUGGGACGGCUGCA
Non-coding RNA from Podarcis lilfordi (Lilford's wall lizard), 78 nucleotides. The record is from the annotation of a GenBank genome assembly. NCBI's taxonomy places the organism in Eukaryota, Metazoa, Chordata, Lepidosauria, Squamata, Lacertidae.